Pan troglodytes (chimpanzee) is the source of this 784-nucleotide long non-coding RNA. RefSeq lists it as uncharacterized. Lineage: Eukaryota; Metazoa; Chordata; Mammalia; Primates; Hominidae. The record is from RefSeq and is a predicted model, not a curated record. The transcript has 2 exons.
CCUGUCAAAAAUAAAACUAUUGAUCUUUCCUAUCCUCUAAUCCCAAAUUUGCUCCUCCCAAAUUUAAACCCAGGUGAGUAAUUCCAACUCUGUUCCUCCCAUAGUUCAGGCCAAAACAUUGCCAAUAUCAUGGAUUUUGCCUCUAAUAUACAGGGUUCAAAUAUAUCUUGUUUGCAUAGAACAAUUUCAAUUUAUAAUUUACAUAGUUUAUAGUUUAGAACAGCUUCAGCAAUAGUUUACACGAUAGUUUCCUCACUAAUUUCCCUGUUUUCUCUUUUGCUAUGCUAUGGUCUAUUUUCACAGAUCAGUCAAACUGUUACUGCUAAUUAUUUAAAGAGGCGAUUGCUUUUCUGUUUAAAACCCUUCAUGGCUGCCAAUUAAAUAAACAAAAGUUCUUACCAUUUUCUAAGAAGCUUUAUGUGACCAUCUCCCCAUGGAGUGUGACCUCAUGUCCUCUGCUGUAUCACAUUGGCAUCCUUAGUGGAACCUCACGGGAUGCAAAAUUUUUCCAAGGGAUGUGCAUCUGCAGACAGUUUUAAGGGACUAUUGUCAAGAACUGUGAAGGAUCUGAGCUUACAAGUUAGCCUGCUUCAGUUUUAUGGAUGCUGGCAGAAGACACAUAAGUGUUUGGUCAGAGACAGAAAGACUUCCAUUAUUUGCAGCACAGCACAGAGUUGCACGAGCUUCAUCUUUGCUCUGGUUGAUGCUACACACAGUUUGUGUCACAGAUGAAGAACUCCAAGUAAAGGAAACUUAAAUCUUUAAUAAAUGAGCAGUAAGCACA